CCCUUCUUAGCUCAGUUGGAAGAGCGUCAGACUGUAAUAGGAUGCAUUGUGAUCUGAAUGUCGCCCGUUCGAACCGGGCAGAAGGGA
Non-coding RNA from Schizophyllum commune H4-8, 87 nucleotides. NCBI's taxonomy places the organism in Eukaryota, Fungi, Basidiomycota, Agaricomycetes, Agaricales, Schizophyllaceae. The record is from Rfam.